RNAcentral lists this ribosomal RNA (493 nucleotides) under uncultured bacterium. RNAcentral's name for it is "partial 16S ribosomal RNA". It matches the Rfam family "Bacterial small subunit ribosomal RNA", at positions 30 to 507 of the family's 1533-position model. The record is from RNAcentral.
AUUGAACGCUGGCGGCAUGCUUUACACAUGCAAGUCGAACGGCAACGAGGAGAAGCUUGCUUCUCUGUCGGCGAGUGGCGAACGGGUGAGUAUAGCAUCGGAACGUGCCAAGUAGUGGGGGAUAACCAAACGAAAGUUUGGCUAAUACCGCGUAAGCUCCACGGAGGAAAGUAGGGGACCUAAAUAAGGCCUUACGCUAUUUGAUCGGCCGAUGUCGGAUUAGCUAGUUGGUGGGGUAAUGGCUCACCAAGGCAAUGAUCCGUAGCGGGUCUGAGAGGACGAUCCGCCACACUGGGACUGAGACACGGACAAGACUCCUACGGGAGGCAGCAGUGGGGAAUGUUGGACAAUGGGGGAAACCCUGAUCCAGCCAUGCCGCGUGUAUGAAGAAGGCCUUAGGGUUGUAAAGUACUUUUGUUAGGGAAGAAAAGCUAGUUUUUAAUAAAAAGUAGUGAUGACGGUACCUAAAGAAUAAGCACCGGCUAACUACGUG